RNAcentral lists this unclassified non-coding RNA (21 nucleotides) under Mus musculus (house mouse). RNAcentral's name for it is "oocyte_clustered_small_RNA414". The record is from RNAcentral. Lineage: Eukaryota; Metazoa; Chordata; Mammalia; Rodentia; Muridae.
CGCCGCCACAGGCCGAGGGAG